AAGUAUUAAACCCCCUAUUAACUUGCCACCCAUUGGAAUUCCACCGGUGACAGUUCCGCCGAUUGUAAAACCACCUAUCAACUUGCCGCCUGUUAUUCCACCAGUUAUUAAGCCGCCCAUCGGAAUUCCACCUGUCACAGUUCCACCAGUAGUAAAACCACCUAUCAACUUGCCACCAGUUAUCAAGCCACCUAUCGGAAUUCCACCCGUUGUAAAACCACCUAUCAACUUUCCGCCCGUUGUUCCACCUGUUAUUAAGCCACCUAUCGGAAUCCCACCGGUGACAGUUCCACCAGUUCUUAAGCCACCAAUUGGUUUACCACCUAUUGUAAAACCUCCAAUCAACUUACCACCUAUCGGAAUUCCACCCGUGACAGUUCCACCAGUUAUUACACCAUCCCCUAAAGGAAAACCAUGCCCUUCACCACCAACAACAAAGGCAACAUGCCCAAUUAACACCCUAAAACUUGGAGCUUGUGUAGAUCUUCUUGGUGGUCUAGUUCAUAUUGGAAUUGGUGACCCUG
This 524-nucleotide long non-coding RNA is filed under the name Nicotiana benthamiana. RNAcentral describes it as "long non-coding RNA (NBEN_LNC026728)". The record is from RNAcentral. Lineage: Eukaryota; Viridiplantae; Streptophyta; Magnoliopsida; Solanales; Solanaceae.